Molecule: unclassified non-coding RNA, 400 nt
Filed under: uncultured bacterium
Lineage: Bacteria
Description: contains 16S-23S intergenic spacer region
Source: RNAcentral
AACUACAUCGUCGCCUUCAGCCACUACGCCGCCGCCGAUCGCCACCGCGCCUACCUCGAAUCCGCACUCCGCCCAGGAGGCUGGCGGUGGAUCCCGCGGCAGAACCCGGCGGCGCAGUUCCCCACCGAUUUCGGGCUCGUCGCGAUCGAUGAUUCCGCGGUGGUUGACGAGAUUCGGAAACUGGGGUCGGUCAAGUACGUGAGCUUGGACAUGAGCUACAAGAGGGGUUUGAUGGCAAAGAAGGAUCAGAGACGCAACGACAAGAAGGUUGGUGCGUUUGAGGAUGGGAAGAAGAAGCGCCCCGGGAAGAUCUUCACUGCGAUGUCAUUUUGUGAGGCCGAAGAAGGAGGAGGAGAAGAAGAACAUGCCAGUAAUCGCAGCAGUUCUGUCAAGUGGGGGC